Molecule: ribosomal RNA, 524 nt
Filed under: uncultured bacterium
Lineage: Bacteria
Description: partial 16S ribosomal RNA
Rfam family: Bacterial small subunit ribosomal RNA
Source: RNAcentral
GACGAACGCUGGCGGCGUGCUUAACACAUGCAAGUCGAACGGACAGACAGAGAGCUUGCUCUCUUGAAGUUAGUGGCGAACGGGUGAGUAACGCGUACUCAACCUGCCCUUCAGAGGGGGAUAACAACGGGAAACCGUUGCUAAUACCGCGUACGAUUCAUGAACGGCAUCGUUUAUGAAUGAAAGGUGGCCUCUAUGUAUAAGCUAUCGCUGACGGAGGGGAUUGCGUCUGAUUAGCUAGUUGGAGGGGUAACGGCCCACCAAGGCAAUGAUCAGUAGCCGGUCUGAGAGGAUGAACGGCCACAUUGGGACUGAGACACGGCCCAAACUCCUACGGGAGGCAGCAGUGGGGAAUCUUCCGCAAUGGACGAAAGUCUGACGGAGCAACGCCGCGUGAGUGAUGAAGGUCUUCGGAUUGUUAAGCUCUGUUAAUCGGGACGAAAGAGUUCUGCGUGAAUAAUGCAGAAAAGUGACGGUACCGGAAUAGAAAGCCACGGCUAACUACGUGCCAGCCGCCGCCGUAA